AGGGGCGUCGCCAAGCGGUAGGCAGCAGGUUUUGAUCCUGCCAUGCGUUGGUUCGAAUCCAGCCGCCCCUGCCA
This 74-nucleotide transfer RNA is filed under the name Pseudomonas protegens. RNAcentral's name for it is "tRNA-Gln". It matches the Rfam family "tRNA". Rfam says of the family: Transfer RNA (tRNA) molecules are approximately 80 nucleotides in length. Lineage: Bacteria; Pseudomonadati; Pseudomonadota; Gammaproteobacteria; Pseudomonadales; Pseudomonadaceae. The record is from RNAcentral.